Molecule: transfer RNA, 76 nt
Filed under: Gammaproteobacteria bacterium
Lineage: Bacteria; Pseudomonadati; Pseudomonadota; Gammaproteobacteria
Description: tRNA-Thr
Rfam family: tRNA
About the family: Transfer RNA (tRNA) molecules are approximately 80 nucleotides in length. Their secondary structure includes four short double-helical elements and three loops (D, anti-codon, and T loops).
Source: RNAcentral
GCCCAUAUAGCUCAGUUGGUAGAGUGCGUCCUUGGUAAGGACGAGGUCACCGGUUCAAAUCCGGUUAUGGGCUCCA